UGAGGAACAUGACCUUCGGCGGGGGAGUAGCCGGCCCAACGGCCGGGUAAUACCGCGUACGACCACUCGGGGACAUCCCCAGGUGGUGAAAGCAGCAAUGCGCCGAUGGAGUGCCUCGCGGCCUAUCAGCUAGUUGGUGAGGUAACGGCUCACCAAGGCGACGACGGGUAGCUGGUCUGAGAGGAUGGCCAGCCACAUUGGGACUGAGACACGGCCCAGACUCCGUACGGGAGCAG
This 236-nucleotide ribosomal RNA is filed under the name uncultured bacterium. RNAcentral describes it as "partial 16S ribosomal RNA". It matches the Rfam family "Bacterial small subunit ribosomal RNA", at positions 118 to 347 of the family's 1533-position model. The record is from RNAcentral.